This is a long non-coding RNA of Lycium ferocissimum, 1362 nucleotides long. RefSeq lists it as uncharacterized. The record is from RefSeq and is a predicted model, not a curated record. The transcript has 2 exons. NCBI's taxonomy places the organism in Eukaryota, Viridiplantae, Streptophyta, Magnoliopsida, Solanales, Solanaceae.
GGAUAAGGAAUAGUACCUGCCAAUUCUGUUAUACAGGGUCGAAUGCCACCAUUACCUAAGGAAUAUCUCAGCAACUGAUAGUAUAUAGAGUAGUAAAGGUUCUACAAUGAAGGCUAUGUUAUCCGGCAGAAUUCCUUAGUGGUGAAAUGUUCAAACUGCCAAUUUGGUCAGCAUUCCAUAGAUUAUAUGGGGCAUAUUAUCUCAGUGUCGGGCUUGCAAGUGGAUCCGGCUAUAAUUGAAGCAAUUACUGCUUGGCCAACUCCUUGCUCUAUCUAGGACGCAAACAGAGGCCUUAACAAAUGCUUGGAACAAUAAUUGUGUUGCUUUACUGUGGAUACGCCCAAUACAUGGUUUAAACUACUGCCUUGGGCAGAGUUUUAGUAUAACACUUCCUUCCAGACCAGUGCUAAGAUGACUCCAUUUUGAAGUUGUAUAUGACAGACCACCACUAACAAUCUCUCGCUUUGUGAUGGACGGCACAUCUAAUCAAGUUGUUGCUGAGUCGUUUCAUCAAAGGAUGAAAGUUUGGGAAUUCUUAAGGCCAAUCUCCAUCAAGCUCAGAUUCGUAUGAAAAUAUUAGCUGACAAAGGAAGGCGGGAAGUUUCAUUUUGAUGUAGGUGAUUGGGUCUAUGUUUGUUUACGCCCAUAUCGCCAACUUUCACUCCGUUUGCAGCGACACAGCAAACUCAGUAGACGGUUCUUUGGACCCUUUCAAAUUAUUCAGAAAAUUGUCUAGGUUACUUGCAAACUCAAUCUUCCAUUAUCUUCAAAGGUACACCCUAUUUUUCACGUCUCUAUUCUUCGCAAGUGCAUUGAAAAGACUGAGCAAGCAUGUCACCCCCAUUGAUUUGAUUAGUCCAUCUUCUUCUAUUGAUCUUGUUCCUGAAAAGGUCCUGCAACAUCGCACUAUUGCCAAAGAUCAACACCAGCUAUCUCAAUGUCUUAUCAAAUGGCAGGGCUUGCCUAUCUCUGAUGCAACAUGGGAGGAUACUUCUCUGAUUCGGCCCAUGGGCUGGAUGUGUCCAGAUAUAGCUCUAAUCUAGGGCCAUUGACCCUCCAAACCAUUUGAAGGACUUUGUGGUCCCAAAAGACAAAGGAUAAGGAAUAGUACCUGCCAAUUCUGUUAUACAGGGUCAAGUGCCACCAUUACCGAAGGAAUAUCUCAGCAACUGAUAGUAUACAGAGUAGUAGAAGUUCUACAAAGAAGGCUACGUUAUAUGCCAAGUCUUUUUAUAUUUAGUGAAGAGAAGUUCUGUAGCUUUUUCCUUUCUAGGUUUUUCUUUGUUUAUCUUUUCAAUUCCAGCAAUUGUUUGUAAGUUUUCUACUAGUUUUAUUGAAUCAACGAAUUGCAGUUGCUAGAAA